AGUUGUUCAAACACCAUUUUAGAGGAAUAUGGCUGUCUUCUGGGUUGAAGCGCCGUGUAUUCUGGUAAAAGUCUACUGACGUUUCAGAGCUGCUUGUUGCUCAGUCGUCAGGGCGACGGGGAGGGAACAAGGACAUGUGAAAUGUCGUCAACCCAGACGACAGCCAUCUUAGUUUUCGUAUCAAUUAGACCUUGGCCUAUUAACGGAGGCUGAAUGUUCUUGCUGGUGUGUACGCUUUCGCGAAACGGAUCAAGGUGACAGAAGACUGACAUCGUUAAGUGUUCGUCGCCAUUCCUCGAGUGUUUGAAUUGAAUUCAGAUCCAAGGACAGCCAAAUGGCCUCUGAUGAGCAGUCCGCUCCCAACGUUAGCAAUAUGUCUGACCUAUGUCUAUCUCGUAAAAGUUUUGGGUCCUAGAAUAAUGGAGAAUAAGAAACCUAUGGAACUGAGGAAUGUGCUGAUUUAUUACAAUUUUUUUCAAGUUUUAUUCAGCUUAUGGCUUUUUUGUGAGGUGAGCAACGUCACACUUGAAGUUUUCUGUGCCUUCUCUCGUCUUACUCAUGUUUAAAAGGUGUUACCAUCUUAUGUACGCGAUUAACUUUCAGACAUUCUUAAUUUUGUGUAAUGAAAUAUUAUGUCAGCGCUCUCACGACUUUUUAUAAAGCAGAAUAGAAAUGCACCUA
This is a non-coding RNA of Zootermopsis nevadensis, 681 nucleotides long. Lineage: Eukaryota; Metazoa; Arthropoda; Insecta; Blattodea; Termopsidae. The record is from RefSeq and is a predicted model, not a curated record.